ACAUGUGAGGUUUCAUAUAUGAUAAUCGAAUACAUCUAUUUAAAAAUACAUGCACCAUAUAUAUAUUUUUUUGCUUUUAAGUCUACGAAAAAAGUAAAAAGAACAUAUUUUAAUUUAAUAAACAACCUUAUCCAAGACAAAUGUGUUAAGGCUUCGUUAGAAAAUAAUAAAAGAUAUCAAUAUUUUUCAUAUUCAAAUAUGUUAACACGAUAGUUUAAUAAAAGAGUUGUAAAAGCAGAAGUAAAGGUGUGC
RNAcentral lists this long non-coding RNA (252 nucleotides) under Piliocolobus tephrosceles (Ugandan red Colobus). RNAcentral describes it as "lncRNA (ENSPTEG00000019992.1)". Lineage: Eukaryota; Metazoa; Chordata; Mammalia; Primates; Cercopithecidae. The record is from RNAcentral.